GACGAACGCUGGCGGCGUGCUUAACACAUGCAAGUCGAACGGAAAGGCCCUGCUUUUGUGGGGUGCUCGAGUGGCGAACGGGUGAGUAACACGUGAGUAACCUGCCCUUGACUUUGGGAUAACUUCAGGAAACUGGGGCUAAUACCGGAUAGGAGCUCCUGCUGCAUGGUGGGGGUUGGAAAGUUUCGGCGGUUGGGGAUGGACUCGCGGCUUAUCAGCUUGUUGGUGGGGUAGUGGCUUACCAAGGCUUUGACGGGUAGGCGGCCUGAGAGGGUGACCGGCCACAUUGGGACUGAGGUACGGCCCAGACUCCUACGGGAGGCAGCAGUGGGGAAUAUUGCGCAAUGGGCGGAAGCCUGAUGCAGCAACGCCGCGUGCGGGAUGACGGCCUUCGGGUUGUAAACCGCUUUCGCCUGUGACGAAGCGUGAGUGACGGUAAUGGGUAAAGAAGCACCGGCUAACUACGUG
Molecule: ribosomal RNA, 468 nt
Filed under: uncultured bacterium
Lineage: Bacteria
Description: partial 16S ribosomal RNA
Rfam family: Bacterial small subunit ribosomal RNA
Source: RNAcentral